AGCAGGUUCAUGUGCUGUCAAGGAAACCUUGUUUCUGCAGAUGAAAGCUGAGACCUGAUUCCCUGGCAAUCAAACACAUUUAAUCCAGAAGUAUAGAGAAGUCUACUCUGUUAAGACAUCAAACACAAGAUAGUUUAUGCCUCCAAAGAGUUUAUGCCUUUACUUUAUGACCCUAGCAUCUUUGCCAACAAUACACACCGCUGGAACUUCGCAAGCUGUGGUUUAUGCUAAAGUGGACCAUUCUUCAAAAUGACUUCAUGCAGGAUUUAAAAAGUCUCCCCUUAAAUGGUAUUUGAAAUGCAGUUCUGUAAAAGAUGUGGAGGUGAAGAGGUUUGCACUCAGAAUAAAAGGACACAAAACCUUCAGCAA
RNAcentral lists this long non-coding RNA (369 nucleotides) under Heterocephalus glaber (naked mole-rat). RNAcentral's name for it is "lncRNA (ENSHGLG00100035203.1)". The record is from RNAcentral. Lineage: Eukaryota; Metazoa; Chordata; Mammalia; Rodentia; Bathyergidae.